UUCGAUGGGGGAGGGGGAAUCACUUUUCCUCGAACAUUAGAGUUGAGUAUGCUGGUGGCCACUCUCGGAGAGUGAAGAUGACUUCAAUCCCAGCUUUUGCCCGAGCCAUUUCUAUUUUCCUGAAGAAAAUGAAGAUCCAAGCGGCGGCCAUCUUCCGAACCGUGUACUAUCGUCAUCCUAUGGUGGCUGGCAGUACUAUUUUUGGGUACUGUCUCAAGC
RNAcentral lists this long non-coding RNA (219 nucleotides) under Linum usitatissimum (flax). Its description in RNAcentral is "long non-coding RNA (LUSI_LNC003083)". The record is from RNAcentral. Lineage: Eukaryota; Viridiplantae; Streptophyta; Magnoliopsida; Malpighiales; Linaceae.